CUUCCCUCAUUCCUCUUCCUCCCUCUAGCUUUUCUCUUCCCCUCUGUAUUGCCCGUGUGCCAGCUCUGGCGGCGGCGCUGAACCGUCGGCUGGUGGCCGGCGGGCGGCGAGGCGCCGCACCAGCUGCUAGUCUCUCGCUCGCCUCCCUGCUUGAAGACCUCGGCCGGCCUCCCCAAACCCUACCCUCUUUCGUUUUCCUCCCUCUCUUCCAUCGUCACCCCUGCUGCCUCCUUCCCCGACGCCGCCCGCCGUCGAAAUUUGACAUCUCCGAGCUCCCGGCGAUCACCUCCGCUCGCCGCCGCCGCCAUCCUCCAUCAGGUCGCCUCUCCGCCGCCGCUCCCCGCCGUCCGAGCUGUGGGUGAGCCUCGCAGCCCCACUGCCUUCCUCGCGCUCUGCAGCAAAAGAAGCCAUACCUGACAGAGUUGCAGGUCGAGGUCAGGGAUCUCGAGAAGUGAAUCUCCACGAUACAGAAAUCAGAACGGGAACAGCAAGUUCCGCCAGGUGCCAGAUUUCUUGAAAUGAGAUUCUAACUGCAUAUUCCAAUCGAGAAUUCUAUGUAGGAGCAGAACAUUGCUUUGAUUAACCCAAUUAAUUGUUACUUCUACUCUUUCAUUUAUUUAGCUUCUUUGGAUUGCAUUUUGGUAACCUGCCUCUACUUAUCUUGAUGAAACGUGAACGUAUUCAGAAGCAAGAGGUCCGCGUGACCUACAAGUGUGGCAUCCACAAGGAGUUCAGCUUCGACUGCCGCCCUGAUCGAUCAACUCCCCUGUGCACCCUCAUCUUUAAUUUUGGCCUGUCGUCAAAUUAUAUUCAUAUAUGAUAAUUUAGAUAACUGUUUAUGCAUUUCUGUUCUGUUAUUGGAACAAUAGACUUCAUCAGUGAUUCUAAUUGACCUUUAUUUUUGUUGAGUUGUCCCUAGGAUACCUUUUUUCAAACUUAGUCAAUCUAAGUUAACUUUAAAUGCCAUUCCAUAAUAGCAGCUAUGCUUUACAUAUUUGUUUUCAGGCUUAUUGAAAUGGCUGUAUAAUUGAAGAGAUUCCAGAAGUUUUGAGAUUUUCGAUAUGUUUGACCUUUAGCCUUGAUGCUUCAUUAUUUUAGUUGGGACAGAAAGUUAGUUCGACCUUGAGAGGCCCUUUCUCAGGCAUAUUGCUCAAUUCCUACCACUACUACAAUCAAUAUUCCUGCAACCAUAAGAUUCCUAAAUUAGCGAUCCAGAAGUGUCAGUCCCUGUAGAGGCAACUACUUCCAGCCUUCCAGAACACCCAGAUCCUCACCUUUGUUGUGGACAACAAUGGCAGAGAAAGUGUUGCUAAUGUCAGGAUGGCCUCCACCAUUGUGAAACAAGGUGAAGAAGCUGCUAAUUGCUUCCGGUGUGUUUUGCCGACGAUGUACAUGUGAAUCAAGGCUAGGAUUAUAGGGGAAAGUAUUAGUUUGAUUCCAGCUACAACAUCUAAUUCUUGGUAAGCUCCUUUUGCUCCUUGCGUCGUUUACUUGACCAUUAAUAUUAUUAUCUGUUCAUGAUUGCCUUUUGUUUUAAGAAAUUUCUAUAUAGUACAUGCUACUGUGUGUUAAUUCAUUUUAGCAUAUCUGCUGAUCUGAACAUACAAUGUCUAGACUUAGUUCUACUUAAAUUUAAGUAAUACUUAUACUGAGAGGUUAUAUUAUUAUCUAUUUAAAUACAUCAAAGUUUCCAUGAAAAAUUAGGAUGGCUGACCCUGAUAGGCCGGCAUUUUUUAACAUUCACCUUUUUUUUCCCUUUUCCCUUUUUAUGUUUUUUCAUUUUAGUUUAAUCCUCCCAUUGGAUCAUUGACCAUUGCUUCUUAAUCGAACAGAAGGCAACUAGGUAGUUUGGUAGAGCUUGAGAGGUUCCUUCAGUUUCGGAGCCCAAAACUAUUUUCUACUGCAGUUAUAAAUGCCAUAUGCAUUGUAUUGUGCUGAAGUGGUUUACAAAGCUUUGGACAACUGCCAGGAAGUUUCUAAAUUCAAGUGUUGUUGAUUAACUUCUACGGAAGAAAGCAUGUGUCUUCCAGUUCAAUUAAAAAAAAAGAGUGCUCCCAAUCUUUAUUAAAAAAAAUAAGGCAAGAUCAUGACACUCCAUAGAGCACCAAUAAAAAAACCUUAGUACAGGUAAUAAGAGCCGCCAAAGACCCCAAGGACUUCAUGAUCUAAUGUACCAGGACCAAAAAAAAAAGGCUUAGCUGUAGAAUCAGAUCGCGAGGUGAAGAACUGGUAAAUCCAUGCAUCAGAUACAUCCUCCAUUCACAAAUGUGGAACCCAUCUCCCUGUAAAAUAUCAAGGUUUUAAAAAACGCUAGACGCUAGGUGAACGCUAGCCUAUGGUUUAGAGUUUUUUGUGAUUAAAUGUAGAUUAAACAUCUUUUGUGAUUAAACGACACUGUGAUUAAAUACAACGCUAGGCCAAAGUUUAGAGUUUAAUCAAGAUUAAACGUAGUUUUAAAACAUUUUUUAAAAUAGGGUAAAAUAUACAUUGAAAAAAUAUGAGUCAAACAGCCUUUUUCCCUCUUCUUCCUUCCACCUCCUUCCUGCUCUUCAUGUUCAUGGUUUCCUGCCGACCGAGCUGCUGCGCCUCCGCCACGCUCAUCUUGCCACCGAGCUCCACCCGCCGCAUCUCCAUCCUUUGCAAACGGAUUCCCCUGCAACUAGGUCGCUCGUCCGCUCUAGGUCCACCAAUGUGGCUUCAAUGAUGGUCAACUAUUGUUGUUGCUCCUCCGUGUGUUCUACUCUUUUACAGAACGAGACCAACAAAAAGACUCAGAUAUGGUCAGACAAUGCGAUAGAGCUAUAUUUGAAGCUGAAAUAGAAGAUGAACGAAAAAUGAAUAAUCCACCCACCUUUCAUGGCUUUGCAUACUCCGGAGAAACUUCAGACGAUGACGACCCCAAUGACGCCUACUAUUAUGCAGCCCCUCCAGUACCACAACAAGCCAUCAGAGACCUUCCCAUAUGAAGCAAGUAGAAAAAAAAAUCAAUGUCAUUCUCAAGACCCCAACCGGCCAGCCCACCUUCUGUUUCUCUGUCUCCACGUAUGCGUGUUUGUAUAACCAUGAACGUGUGUGCAUCUAUAUAACUGCAUCUGAACUCGCGAGUCAAUGAAAAUAUUGUAAAUGUUAUUAAUUUAUACUACCCUAUCAUAAUCCUGUUACAUAUGCAAAA
Panicum virgatum (switchgrass) is the source of this 3172-nucleotide long non-coding RNA. RefSeq lists it as uncharacterized. The record is from RefSeq and is a predicted model, not a curated record. NCBI's taxonomy places the organism in Eukaryota, Viridiplantae, Streptophyta, Magnoliopsida, Poales, Poaceae. The transcript has 12 exons.